UACAGAGGGUGCAAGCGUUGUUCGGAAUUACUGGGCGUAAAGCGCGUGUAGGUGGCGAUGUAAGUCGGGUGUGAAAUCCCUCGGCUCAACCGAGGAAGUGCACUCGAUACUGUGUCGCUUGAGUGUUGGAGGGGAUGGCGGAAUUCCCGGUGUAGAGGUGAAAUUCGUAGAUAUCGGGAGGAACACCUGUGGCGAAGGCGGCCAUCUGGACCACUACUGACGCUGAGACGCGAAAGCGUGGGUAGCAAACAGG
Molecule: ribosomal RNA, 253 nt
Filed under: uncultured bacterium
Lineage: Bacteria
Description: partial 16S ribosomal RNA
Rfam family: Bacterial small subunit ribosomal RNA
Source: RNAcentral